CGUUGGGCCCAGUCUGAAAUACGAAAUGGAUUUAGAGUGCCGUUUAUGGUAUGGUUGGAUUUAGAGUACCGUUUCUACGUAUAGGGCCCAGUCUGAAAUACGAAAUGAACAGUUGGAAACUAUACUAGGAAUAAAACCAAGAAAAUAUUUCGAUUUGUCCUUAAGUGCGUCACCAAGUUUAGUCGUUUCCGUUAUACUACUUUCACACUAUAAACGUCUAAGACGUCCAAGGCCUCUGUUUAGUAAGUGGCGAGGGG
Paramuricea clavata is the source of this 257-nucleotide non-coding RNA. The record is from the annotation of a GenBank genome assembly. NCBI's taxonomy places the organism in Eukaryota, Metazoa, Cnidaria, Anthozoa, Malacalcyonacea, Plexauridae.